Molecule: ribosomal RNA, 857 nt
Filed under: uncultured bacterium
Lineage: Bacteria
Description: bacterial SSU rRNA
Rfam family: Bacterial small subunit ribosomal RNA
Source: RNAcentral
CAUGCAGUCGAGGGGCAGCGCAGUGUAGCAAUACAUGGGCGGCGACCGGCAAACGGGUGCGGAACACGUACGCAACCUUCCUUCAAGCGGGGCAUAGCUUUCGGAAACGAAAAUUAAUACCCCAUAGUAAUGUCUGAGGGCAUCUGAGGACAUUUAAAGAUUUAUCACUUGAAGAUGGGCGUGCGCCUGAUUAGGUAGUUGGCGGGGUAACGGCCCACCAAGCCUACGAUCAGUAACUGGUGUGAGAGCACGACCAGUCACACGGGCACUGAGACACGGGCCCGACUCCUACGGGAGGCAGCAGUAAGGAAUAUUGGUCAAUGGACGCAAGUCUGAACCAGCCAUGCCGCGUGGAGGAUGAAGGUCCUCUGGAUUGUAAACUUCUUUUAUCGGAGAAGAAACCCCUGAAUUCUUUUAGGGUUGACGGUACCCGAUGAAUAAGCACCGGCUAACUCCGUGCCAGCAGCCGCGGUAAUACGGAGGGUGCAAGCGUUAUCCGGAUUCACUGGGUUUAAAGGGAGCGUAGGUGGGCUGGUAAGUCAGUGGUGAAAUCUCCGGGCUUAACUCGGAAACUGCCGUUGAUACUAUCAGUCUUGAAUGUUGUGGAGGUAAGCGGAAUAUGUCAUGUAGCGGUGAAAUGCUUAGAUAUGACAUAGAACACCGAUAGCGAAGGCAGCUUGCUACACAAUUAUUGACACUGAGGCUCGAAAGCGUGGGGAUCAAACAGGAUUAGAUACCCUGGUAGUCCACGCCCUAAACGAUGGAUACUCGACAUAUGCGAUACACUGUAUGUGUCUGAGCGAAAGCAUUAAGUAUCCCACCUGGGAAGUACGACCGCAAGGUUGAAACUCAAAGGA